Molecule: ribosomal RNA, 249 nt
Filed under: uncultured bacterium
Lineage: Bacteria
Description: partial 16S ribosomal RNA
Rfam family: Bacterial small subunit ribosomal RNA
Source: RNAcentral
AUACGUAGGUGGCAAGCGUUGUCCGGAGUUUAUUGGGCGUAAAGCGAGCGCAGGCGGUUUUUUAAGUCUGAUGUGAAAGCCUUCGGCUUAACCGGAGAAGUGCAUCGGAAACUGGGAGACUUGAGUGCAGAAGAGGACAGUGGAACUCCAUGUGUAGCGGUGGAAUGCGUAGAUAUAUGGAAGAACACCAGUGGCGAAGGCGGCUGUCUAGUCUGUAACUGACGCUGAGGCUCGAAAGCAGUGGGUAGC